ACGGGGGGAGCAAGCGUUGUUCGGAAUCACUGGGCGUAAAGGGCGUGUAGGCGGUCAGGUAAGUGGAAUGUGAAAUGCUCCGGCUCACCCGGAGUACUGCAUCCCAAACUGCCUGGCUUGAGUAUGGGAGAGGAUGAGGGAAUUCCUGGUGUAGCGGUGAAAUGCGUAGAUAUCAGGAGGAACACCGGUGGCGAAGGCGCUCAUCUGGCCCAAUACUGACGCUGAGGCGCGAAAGCGUGGGUAGCGAACAGGA
This 253-nucleotide ribosomal RNA is filed under the name uncultured prokaryote. Its description in RNAcentral is "partial 16S ribosomal RNA". It matches the Rfam family "Bacterial small subunit ribosomal RNA", at positions 525 to 777 of the family's 1533-position model. The record is from RNAcentral.